Molecule: ribosomal RNA, 394 nt
Filed under: uncultured bacterium
Lineage: Bacteria
Description: bacterial SSU rRNA
Rfam family: Bacterial small subunit ribosomal RNA
Source: RNAcentral
GAGGUGGGGAAAACCGCUGGAAACGGCGGCUAAUACCGAAUGUGGCGCCGGGAGGCAUCUUCCGAGCGCUAAAGGGGGCGAAAGCUCCCCCUCUUCGAGGGGCUCGCGCACCAUCAGCUUGUGGCGGGGUAACGCCCACCAAGGCUCACGGUUAGCUGGUCUGAGAGGAUGGCCAGCCGCACUGGGACUGAGAUACUGCCCAGACUCCUACGGGAGGCUGCAGUCGAGGAUCAUUCGCAAUGGGGGAAACCCUGACGAUGCGACGCUGCGUGGAGGAUGAAGGCCCUCGGGUCGUAAACUCCUGUCAUGAGGGAAAAGGCGAGGGGACCCAACACGUCCCUUAGUUGAUGGUACCUCAAGAGGAACGGGCGGCUAACUCUGUGCCAGCCGCGGC